RNAcentral lists this long non-coding RNA (604 nucleotides) under Anas platyrhynchos platyrhynchos (common mallard). RNAcentral's name for it is "lncRNA (ENSAPLG00000027056.1)". The record is from RNAcentral. Lineage: Eukaryota; Metazoa; Chordata; Aves; Anseriformes; Anatidae.
UAAAAAGAAUAAAUCAUAAAUAAUAAAGGAAUCACAUUCGUUGGAAGUGCAGGAAAACAAAUAAGUAAAACAAACAAACAAAAAAGCAUUGCAUCAACUGAUCUUUGUACAAGACUGAGGAAGCAAGGAAAGAACAAAGGAGGAGCCAGGACAACAACAAGAGUAGGAGAAAAACAAUAUUCCUAUUUGCUAUGUUUUCUACUCUUCGUCUGCAGAAAGGCACAACUGCAAGAAAAUCUCCAUUUGACUCUGCAGCCUUACCUUAAAGGUGUUUGGUAUAGAAUUUGGCAACUUGUCUUACAAAGAAAAAACACCCCUGGUGAGUCUAUAGAAACAGAGUUCGUAACAGUCAAACACCAGUAUCCCCAAAAGAAGUAAGAACUAAAAAUCUUAAGAGUCUAGUUUACAUCAAAUUUAGCUGCUGAGUCUGAGGUCACUGCUUACUUUUCCAGCAAGGAGCAUCACAAGAUGCUGUCGUAGUGGCCAGCUCCUACAGACACCAGGUGAAGGUGAGAACUCUUAACUCGAGACUGGAGUGAAAAAAAAAGCACAACAGCAGCUAUCUAUAAAUAAAAUAGAGAAAGGAUUUGGAACUUGCUGACUU